UCAACCAAGAAAGGUAGAGAGAAAGAACCAUCAUUCAGAACUACCAGAGCUAGGGAGGGUGCGGUGGAGGACGGUGAGUAGCGGUGGGAAGGAAAUGAGUCUGGGAGGGAGAAGGAGACGGAAGCAAACUCCAGAAUCAGGAUGAAGAAAGCAUGGCUUGAAGCUCUCACUUACUUGUCUCUGUUCAAAAGUUUUGCCCUUUCUCUCUUCUUCUUUCUUCCCUAAAAGCUUACCAGUUCUAAAAGAAAAAAAGUUUUUUUUUUUCCUAGAGCUCGGGCAAAGGCCCGUGCUAGCCAGGCGGUGAAUCCGCCACUGCUAAGGAGUAAGGAAUUCACUGAGAAUGAGUCAUUUUAUGACUUUCUUGAACAUGAUAUAGCUUCUGCACAUAAGGUGGUUGCUGUGUUUGAAUAUCAAACCUUAUUUCAAUCUACUUUUGUGCUUGUAGAAAUUUGACAAAACACUCCAUAUGAAGAAACGACUAAACCUUAACUGAGAUCUGUUUCAUGAGUCUAAUUCUUGCAUCAUGAGAUCAUAUUCUGUUUUAAGAUGAUUUAGGUACUGUUUUGUAUAUGCUGAGGAUUGACCUGCUAAACAUGUACUCUUAAUCCUAAUCCUACUCUAACCAUUAGAUUGGCCCAAGUAGGAUUAGGAUUAGUGAGACGAUGUUUGUAAAAUUUGUAACAAACAGGCUCUACUGACCAUCAGAUUGGCCUGCUUCAAAUCCAUAUAGCUACAAUUUUUCAGCAUGUUUACUAAUCAACAAGUAAAUUUUCCAACAAAAUUAUAUAGUCUUUUGUAACAAGUAAUUUAGGUACUUUAUUUUAAUCUUUUUGAAUCUUCUCACCUCUCAAGUUAGUUAUUAUUGUCUUUUUUCACUUAUCCUAAACUUUAGUAGAUAUAACAUUGGCAAUCAAUUAGAUGUAAAAGUAAAAAUAUUCAUCCAUCAGUUUCCUUGGUGAAAACAUCAUUUAGUUUCGUAUUUUAUACUGGACCUCAUGGGUCAUGUAUAGUACAAAUGUUGUUUUACCAUACCCAUAAUGGCAGUACAUUAGCGUUGGGUCAUGUAAUUUACAAGAGCUCCUGCACCAUACAAGGCCCAAGUUUCUUGUUCUUCAUCUUCUUCACAUCUUGUUCAUCUCCUCCAACCCAACCUCACUCCGCCGCCGAUCGAAGACGCUUUCAUGGCGGAGAAGCUCUUCAACCAGGCCUUCGCUUACACCUACGACGACGUCACUCGUCGCCUCCCCCAUGGACAUCGUAUUUCAAGGGUGUCCAUUUGGAUGCGCUUCUCGACAUGUCUGUCCACUGAAAGAUGGGGUUUGACAGGUUUAUUUGUACGAGCUUUUUGACAGGGAUGGAACAACAACGAGUCGCGAUUCUGAACCCUAAUGGCACCGCCAAGAACCACGUUGAUUUCUCUGCCGCUUCAUCAGGUUCUUCCGGUUCAUCUUCAUGCAUUGGCAGCAACUACUGAGAUCUGGAAUUUUUGGAGGGGAGCAUGUCACUCUUGGUUGUAAUGAAGUGGCUUUUGGAGGUGCGGUUUUAUUCAUUCUUGGAGAUGCUUGGAGGCUAAGCUACAGCUAUAUGGAUGGAUAUUUUCAAAAGGGUUGUUUGCUAGAUGAGUGCUUAUAUAAUGAUCAGUAGGUGGAUUGCAGUUGGGAGUGCCUUUGGAGUGGAGGCGAAUGAUAUUAAUUUUGAAGGGAGCCACUGUUAUUUUGGAUUUUUACUGGCAGCUUCCUUGACUGGGGAGAGUUCAAUGGGUUUUGGGUAUGCUUUGUACUGGGUUCCCCUUGAAGAUUUCAUCCUGAUUUUAGCCAACUUGUACUCUUUUUCCUAGUCUAGAUUUUCCAAGAGGGUUUUUUCUAGCAAUGUUUUAAUGAGGCUUGUUUUCUAAGAUCUUUCUUCAAGGGAUGGUGGGUUUAGCUUAGUAAUAGACGGAUUCUUUGUCUAUUGUACGUGUUGUUUUUGCUCUUAAGCUUUUUCUUCUAUACUCUCUUCUCUUUGUAUUGGUUGUACUUCAUUUCUAUAUAUUCUUUUUGCCUAUCAAAAAAAAAUUAGGGAUUCUUGAAGUUGAAAAA
Molecule: long non-coding RNA, 2078 nt
Organism: Lotus japonicus
Lineage: Eukaryota; Viridiplantae; Streptophyta; Magnoliopsida; Fabales; Fabaceae
Exons: 3
Source: RefSeq, a predicted model, not a curated record